CUCAAAACUGACUUUUUCGGAACGAUACCCACGAUUUCUCAGGUUCUACUGGACCGAUUUACUUGAAAUUUUUAUAGAGUCUUCUUUAUAGGCUUGUCUAUGGUUGGAACUAGCCCCAUUCCCAAA
Long non-coding RNA from Bactrocera neohumeralis, 126 nucleotides. RefSeq lists it as uncharacterized. NCBI's taxonomy places the organism in Eukaryota, Metazoa, Arthropoda, Insecta, Diptera, Tephritidae. The transcript has 2 exons. The record is from RefSeq and is a predicted model, not a curated record.